Molecule: long non-coding RNA, 1947 nt
Organism: Neopsephotus bourkii (Bourke's parrot)
Lineage: Eukaryota; Metazoa; Chordata; Aves; Psittaciformes; Psittacidae
Exons: 3
Source: RefSeq, a predicted model, not a curated record
CUGAAACCAGCGUAUGAGUUGCAAUUUAGCCUUUUAAGAGUAGUUAAAACCCAGUGCAGUCACCGCGCGCCAGUGGCAAACACGGGAGCUCCCUGUUCCACUCCCGCAGCUGUCCGGACCGUGAGGAGUUUAAGCAACCUGCGACUGCGGGUAGGGCUCAGGGGCCCUGAGCCUGCCACCCUUAUCUGCUCCUUCAAACACCUCCUGCUUUAACACAAAAUAAAUUUUGAAGGGUCUUUGGAGAAGUUGAGGCUGGACAAGCCUCAUUCACCAUAUUCCCCUCUCUUCCUAAAUACUCUCUGGAUUUAUUGCCUUUAAAAUGUGAUUUAGGUACAAUAUAACCACUGUGCCCACAGUAUGGAUUUUUAUAACUACAUUUCUUUAAAAAUGAAAUUCAUGUCAGAUUAUGCAGUUAAAGAAAUUGACCUUGAUAGCUUCCUAUAAUAAAACUGUAUCAGCUUGUAAUAAAUGCGGAUUACGGCAAAGCAAGAUCCAGAAUUAAAAUUCCCUGAAUCAAUAUAUGAAAAUCUGUAGGAAACAUCUCUAAUCGUAUUAAGUUCAUCUUUAUAGCAUUUCCUAUCUGCUAAUCUAGUGCAAAAACAACUCUGGGUUGGAAGAAUUUAUUUUUCUUAUUAAAUGUCUCUGCUUUUGAUAGUCUAAUGCACAGGGCGUAACAAUAUUAAAUUCAGUUAUAAGUGUAUUUCUUUUUAAUUCGAAGGAAAACAGCGAGAGAACCCCACGUCCUGUUUUCCUUCAGAGGUUGCUGUGUGCAGCGACCGGCGGGGCGGGGGCUGCCACCGAGGGACCAAAACUUGGACAAAUACGUGUCCGGGGGGCAAAUGGGGAGAAUACGAAAAAUUGGGGCUAAUGGAAUGAGUCAUCGACAGAGUGGAUUAUUUAAAGCACCAUGAGCUGGGCAUAUCAAAGCUUUUGACACGACUUGGGAAUGAUAGCGUUGCCCAUCGCUGCUGGUUUGAGCAAAAGGCUGCCGUUAUGCCCCCCUCACCUUCUAAGGGCUCUGGCGCUGUGUAGCUCCAGCUGGGAACGGGGUCUUUCCCCCCUGUUCCCAGCAGUGCCCUUCCGCCCUCGGCCUGCUGCACAGCUCUCCUUGCCUUUUAGAUCAGGUAAUUUAAGGGGGAAGGGGAAAAUUAUAUUUAAAAAAGGAAAAAAAAAAAAUCAAAGCUAAUGCAACAUUGUCACACAUUGACUGCUAAGCACUCCCUAUACACCUACUUACCCAGGGCUUGUGGAUUUGUCAUGUCAUAUUCUAUGACAGUCAGAUAAUAAUAUCUCACCCCGGAUAAGAUGCAUGGAUUUUUAAAAUGUCAGUCAACAUGACUGAUUUUUUUUAUUUAGCAUUUCAAAAUCCCCUUAUUUUCACCUACCUUGGGAAAAAAAAAUAAAUAUCUGGGCUACAUGUCCAUCUUUAUGUGCCACAUCUCGGUGAGAUGAAUAUGUUGGCUUAUUGGACAGUAAAAGGCCAGUCUCUAGGUGACAACUGGGCAGCCAUUAUUCAGCAUUUUAUUCAUGCAUAUUUAGAGGAUGGUAAUAAGGAUUUUUGCAUUGUUGCAUUAAAAUGGUCAAUUCCCAGCAGUUUUGAUGGAAAGGAAGUGAAACAUAUGAGAUAGCUAAGUGUCCAGUCACAGCUGGGAUUUCAAGUGAUUUUCCUUCACUUAGCUGUGCACUCUGACUCCCAGACAGGCCUGGCUCUGGAAAGGUGAGCUCACUCCUCUCCCCUUACCUCCAUUUGAGCAGGUUUUUACACACUACUUUUGCUGCUGUUACUUAUUACUAAACAAUGACACAAAUUUGCUUAUUUCUGUGCCAUUGAUAUACCCUUUCUGCCUCCUUAAAGAGUUAUAUUUCUUUAUUUUUUUUAAAUAUUUAAAAGAAAUUUUUAACAUGAUUGAAUAACACCAGGAAAUUAGUGCUUGUAAACCUGCCUAA